AACGAACGCUGGCGGCAUGCCUAACACAUGCAAGUCGAACGAAGCCUUCGGGCUUAGUGGCGCACGGGUGCGUAACGCGUGGGAAUCUGCCCUUGGUUCGGAAUAACAGUUAGAAAUGACUGCUAAUACCGAAUGAUGUCUUCGGACCAAAGAUUUAUCGCCCAAGGAUGAGCCCGCGUCGGAUUAGCUAGUUGGUGAGGUAAAGGCUCACCAAGGCGACGAUCCGUAGCUGGUCUGAGAGGAUGAUCAGCCACACUGGGACUGAGACACGGCCCAGACUCCUACGGGAGGCAGCAGUGGGGAAUAUUGGACAAUGGGCGAAAGCCUGAUCCAGCAAUGCCGCGUGAGUGAUGAAGGCCUUAGGGUUGUAAAGCUCUUUACCCGGGAUGAUAAUGACAGUACCGGGGGAAUAAGCCCCGGCUAACUCCGUGCCAG
This 435-nucleotide ribosomal RNA is filed under the name uncultured bacterium. RNAcentral's name for it is "bacterial SSU rRNA". It matches the Rfam family "Bacterial small subunit ribosomal RNA", at positions 29 to 511 of the family's 1533-position model. The record is from RNAcentral.